RNAcentral lists this ribosomal RNA (406 nucleotides) under uncultured bacterium. Its description in RNAcentral is "partial 16S ribosomal RNA". It matches the Rfam family "Bacterial small subunit ribosomal RNA", at positions 30 to 526 of the family's 1533-position model. The record is from RNAcentral.
AUUGAACGCUGGCGGCAGGCCUAACACAUGCAAGUCGAACGAGUGGCGGACGGGUGAGUAAUGUCUGGGAAUCUGCCCGAUAGAGGGGGAUAACUACUGGAAACGGUGGCUAAUACCGCAUACCCUCGGAUGUGCCCAUAUGGGAUUAGCUAGUAGGUGGGGUAACGGCUCACCUAGGCGACGAUCCCUAGCUGGUCUGAGAGGAUGAUCAGCCACACUGGGACUGAGACACGGUCCAGACUCCUACGGGAGGCAGCAGUGGGGAAUAUUGCACAAUGGGCGCAAGCCUGAUGCAGCCAUGCCGCGUGUAUGAAGAAGGCCUUAGGGUUGUAAAGUACUUUCAGCGGGGAGGCGUUACCCGCAGAAGAAGCACCGGCUAACUCCGUGCCAGCAGCCGCGGUAAUAC